GUGAGGAAUAUUGGUCAAUGGGCGGGAGCCUGAACCAGCCAAGUCGCGUGAAGGAAGAAGGAUCUAUGGUUCGUAAACUUCUUUUGCAGGGGAAUAAAGUGCAGGACGUGUCCUGUUUUGUAUGUACCCUGAGAAUAAGGAUCGGCUAACUCCGUGCCAGCAGCCGCGGUAAUACGGAGGAUCCGAGCGUUAUCCGGAUUUAUUGGGUUUAAAGGGUGCGUAGGUGGGUUGAUAAGUCAGCGGUGAAAGUUUGCAGCUUAACUGUAAAAAUGCCGUUGAAACUGUCGGACUUGAGUGUAAAUGAGGUAGGCGGAAUGCGUGGUGUAGCGGUGAAAUGCAUAGAUAUCACGCAGAACUCCGAUUGCGAAGGCAGCUUACUAAGCUACAACUGACACUGAAGCACGAAAGCGUGGGGAUCAAACAGGAUUAGAUACCCGGGUAGUCC
RNAcentral lists this ribosomal RNA (445 nucleotides) under uncultured bacterium. RNAcentral describes it as "partial 16S ribosomal RNA". It matches the Rfam family "Bacterial small subunit ribosomal RNA", at positions 354 to 796 of the family's 1533-position model. The record is from RNAcentral.